Molecule: long non-coding RNA, 250 nt
Filed under: Physcomitrium patens
Lineage: Eukaryota; Viridiplantae; Streptophyta; Bryopsida; Funariales; Funariaceae
Description: long non-coding RNA (PPAT_LNC012416)
Source: RNAcentral
CAAUACAAAUGCUGAUUUUGAACAAUAGUUACAAAGUCCAACCAAAUCCUACAAAAAUAAGUCUGAUGUCUCUAAAACAAAUUUUAAGCUAGCUCUUCAAUUCUAAUCACCAAUCUUCAAAUGAAACCCUAUUUUAUCCUAGGCAAUAAUUUUAAUAGCCAAAGGUCUGAUUUCAUUCCUAUCUCACAAAUAGUAGACCCCCAAAUAUUACUCUAACCUACCUUAGGAACUUUUUAGUCUAAUCUUACCU